RNAcentral lists this ribosomal RNA (263 nucleotides) under uncultured archaeon. Its description in RNAcentral is "partial 16S ribosomal RNA". It matches the Rfam family "Archaeal small subunit ribosomal RNA", at positions 717 to 982 of the family's 1478-position model. The record is from RNAcentral.
AGUCACUGACAUUAGAUACCCGUGUAGUCCAGGGUGUAAACGCUGCAGACUUGGUGUUGGAGGCCCUUUGGGGGCAUUCAGUGCCGGAGAGAAGUUGUUAAGUCUGCUACUUGGGGAGUACGUCCGCAAGGAUGAAACUUAAAGAAUUGGCGGGGGAGCACCGCAACGGGAGGAGCGUGCGGUUUAAUUGGAUUCAACACCGUAAACUCACCAGGGAAGACUGUUACAUGAAGGCCGAGAUGAAGACUCUGCUAGAUUUUCAG